AUUGAACGCUGGCGGCAGGCCUAACACAUGCAAGUCGAGCGGAUGAAGGGAGCUUGCUCCUGGAUUCAGCGGCGGACGGGUGAGUAAUGCCUAGGAAUCUGCCUGGUAGUGGGGGAUAACGUCCGGAAACGGGCGCUAAUACCGCAUACGUCCUGAUGGAGAAAGUGGGGGAUCUUCGGACCUCACGCUAUCAGAUGAGCCUAGGUCGGAUUAGCUAGUUGGUGGGGUAAAGGCCUACCAAGGCGACGAUCCGUAACUGGUCUGAGAGGAUGAUCAGUCACACUGGAACUGAGACACGGUCCAGACUCCUACGGGAGGCAGCAGUGGGGAAUCUUGGACAAUGGGCGAAAGCCUGAUCCAGCCAUGCCGCGUGUGUGAAGAAGGUCUUCGGAUUGUAAAGCACUUUAAGUUGGGAGGAAGGGCAGUAAGUUAAUACCUUGCUGUUUUGACGUUACCAACAGAAUAAGCACCGGCUAACUUCGUG
This 484-nucleotide ribosomal RNA is filed under the name uncultured bacterium. RNAcentral's name for it is "partial 16S ribosomal RNA". It matches the Rfam family "Bacterial small subunit ribosomal RNA", at positions 30 to 507 of the family's 1533-position model. The record is from RNAcentral.